GCUGAAAAGUGACCGACAGUGCUUUCUUGGACCAGAGUGGCAUAAUCGCCGUAUUAUUCGUUUCUAUGCAAUUAGAACUGCUGGCGCAUGAUUCCAUAUGAUAAUUGCAUAUUGAAAGAAAUUCCCCUUUACCUUAUCGAUGUCGAAAAUAUUAAGUACCUAUUCUAAAUUAUCGGUGUUUAUCUUCUCUCGCUACCCGAUAUAAAUAAGGGCAACCAAGGCGACCCGAGCGUUGUACAGCUGCAGCUUAAGCCUUGUUUAACUUCAGUAAUUUACACCUACUCGUAUAUAAAAAUGCAUCAAAACUCUUCGUAUUUGUGGUGUUCAUUAUCGCCAGCCUUUUCAGGGAAGCAAAAUGCAGGAGACUUGAAAAUGCUGGGAAGAGGGUUUGCGACGCGGGGACUAUUGCAGUAUCGAAAGGAAAACAUGGUUGAGAGAGGCAGAGUUUGAUAUCGUUCUGAUUCCGCUUACCUGUAUAUAUUUGCAUAAUUUUGAAUAAAAUGACGUAUGACUGAAA
Molecule: long non-coding RNA, 517 nt
Organism: Photinus pyralis (common eastern firefly)
Lineage: Eukaryota; Metazoa; Arthropoda; Insecta; Coleoptera; Lampyridae
Exons: 3
Source: RefSeq, a predicted model, not a curated record